AUGGCACUCCAACGACCCUUAUUUUCUCCACUCUUGUUCCUUUGCUUCCAUCUGCUGGCUGCAUUACACACAACCUCCGAUGCAGCCUUGAGCUCACACCUGCCUCAAGCCAUGGACUGUUCAACGUCCGGCAACUACACCUCUAACAGUGCCUACCCUGCCAACCUGAACCAAUUCCUUGCUUCUCUCCCAGAGAAGACUAUCUUCAAGAACGGUGGUUUCAUCAACGACACGGUCGGGGAGGGCUCGGGCACCGUUUACAGGCUGGCAAUGUGCUCCGCUGACUACUCGCGCUCUGACUGCGGUGACUGCCUCGCGGCCGCUGCUAGAAGCAACGCUAACGGUCUGCCGAACCGCUGCCCCGGGAGCACCACCGUGCUCGCCUGGUUCGACCCGUGCCUCGUCCGCUACUCCGACACCAACUUCUUUGGCAAAGCUGAAAUAGGUGAAAUCUACGCGCUGAAUGGUCCAAGAGCCAUCUGGGAGCCGAUGCGGUACCGUGAUGACGUAGUCAGAAACUUGAACGAGUCGAUAGGGGCCGCAGUGGCCUCGUCGCAGCGAUUCGCGGCAUCGUCGACGGAUCCAUACACGUUGGUUCAGUGCACGUGGGACCUGCCGCCGGACCAGUGCAAGCAGUGCCUGGACGUGCUGACGGCCAAUGCGUCGAAGGACUGGACUUCCAUGGCAGUAGAUGGUAAGCGUAGGAGCUAUAGCUGUUCUGUUAGGUACGGCAACACCAGCUUCGUGGUUGUGCCGUUCGGCGGUGCUCCUACCUCGCAGUCCGUAGACCAAGCAAGCAGACCAGCUACUCAGUCCAGCGGCCCCAGCAAAGGUUCUUGGACAGCUGGCGUGGUGGGAUCUGUAGUUGGUCUAAUUCUCUUGGCUUGUUUAGCAGCUCUGGUGGUCAAGCUAAAGAGCAAGCAUGAAACAGGGCAUGUUCGAGAGUUCACUUACCGGGAAUUGGCGACUGCAACACUUACCUUCAAGGACACAAGAAAGCUUGGACAGGGUGCAUUUGGCAUUGUCUAUAAAGGUGCAGUGAUGAUAGAAGGCACACAAGUGGAGGUGGCUAUAAAAAAGAAUACAAGUGAUGUGUCAGAUGAAACGAGGAAGGCCUUUAAGAACGAGGUUGAAAUUAUGAGCCCGCUGAACCAUCGCAACAUUAUACAUCUUGUGGGUUGGUGCAACGAAAAGAACAACCUCUUGCUUGUCUACGAACUAGUGGAGAAUCGCAACCUUGAAGCUCGGCUUUACAACCAUGGUGGUACAGAUUUAGUUCUUGAUUGGCGCCAAAGGUACAACAUAUUGGUUGGAAUAGCCUCGGGUCUUGAAUAUCUCCAUAAUAAUUGUUCAAGAACCGUCCUCCACAGGGACAUCAAGCCAGCUAAUGUGAUGCUGGAUAUGGACUUCACUGCUAAACUGUGUGACUUCGGUUUGGUGACACAACUUACACGUGCCGCAACCUCACGCUCAACAAAUAACAUUAUUGGAACACUAGGCUACAUGGACCCAUUAUACCAGCAGAACGGCCAGGUUACUAAAGAAUCUGAUGUCUACAGCUUCGGUGUGCUGUUGCUUGAGGUACUAUGUGGCGUGGCGCCGAUCCUGAUUGGCAAUCCCUUGAAAAACAGCCUCAUCGAGAAUGUCCGGGAAUGUCGUGGGAGAAAUGCAAUUCUCGAUGCAGCUCACCAACGGCUGAGGGGCGAGUAUGAUGAGGAAAUUAAAGGAGCGUUGUUGAUCGGGCUCCACUGUGUCGAAACAAGACGUGGUGACCGCCCAACUAUCAGAAUUGUGUUGUCCAAUUUAGUCAGCUUGACCGCAUCACAUGUUGUGAUGUCUUGA
RNAcentral lists this ribosomal RNA (1842 nucleotides) under Triticum aestivum (bread wheat). RNAcentral describes it as "partial small subunit ribosomal RNA". Lineage: Eukaryota; Viridiplantae; Streptophyta; Magnoliopsida; Poales; Poaceae. The record is from RNAcentral.